RNAcentral lists this ribosomal RNA (254 nucleotides) under uncultured Fusobacterium sp. RNAcentral describes it as "partial 16S ribosomal RNA". It matches the Rfam family "Bacterial small subunit ribosomal RNA", at positions 103 to 356 of the family's 1533-position model. The record is from RNAcentral. Lineage: Bacteria; Fusobacteriati; Fusobacteriota; Fusobacteriia; Fusobacteriales; Fusobacteriaceae.
CGGGUGAGUAACGCGUAAAGAACUUGCCUCAUAGUCUGGGACAACAUUUGGAAACGGAUGCUAAUACCGGAUAUUAUGCUUUCUUCGCAUGGAGGAAGUAUGAAAGCUAUAUGCGCUAUGAGAGAGCUUUGCGUCCCAUUAGCUAGUUGGUGAGGUAACGGCCCACCAAGGCGAUGAUGGGUAGCCGGCCUGAGAGGGUGAACGGCCACAAGGGGACUGAGACACGGCCCUUACUCCUACGGGAGGCAGCAGUG